Molecule: long non-coding RNA, 427 nt
Organism: Oryzias melastigma (Indian medaka)
Lineage: Eukaryota; Metazoa; Chordata; Actinopteri; Beloniformes; Adrianichthyidae
Exons: 2
Source: RefSeq, a predicted model, not a curated record
GGAAGAGUCACUCACCUCGAGCCACUUCCGUGUUUUUGCCGCAAAGUCCUGUGGGAUACCUGACCAGACUGAUCAGUUUCACCAGCACUCACCACCAAAAGAAAAGGGAGCCUCACUUCUGUCGAUCCUUCUCUCCUCCUUCACUCUAUUCCCCUCAACUCUCUGACUUUCUCCAGUGUUCCACAUCCCCGAUGCUUCUGCAAUCUCACAUCUUCUCUACAGAUCCAAGCCCUUCACAUUUCUGCUGGAUCCCCUCCCAACAGCUUUGGCUGAAUCAUGCUAAUCUCAUCUCUGUGCCUCUGUACCACUAUCUCCACUGGCUUUGUUCUUCUUUUUGGUUUGUUUGUUUACAUGUAAGAUGUUGAUCAAUAAAAGAAAUAACGCUAAAAAAAAGGUGUGAUGAAAUAUGAAAAAAAAAAAAGAAAAA